RNAcentral lists this small nucleolar RNA (195 nucleotides) under Phaeoacremonium minimum UCRPA7. RNAcentral's name for it is "Small nucleolar RNA snR32". It matches the Rfam family "Small nucleolar RNA snR32". The record is from Rfam by way of RNAcentral. Lineage: Eukaryota; Fungi; Ascomycota; Sordariomycetes; Togniniales; Togniniaceae.
AAAAUCUAAAUGAGAAGGUAAGUCUUGCCAGCUAACACGUCUCGCACGUGUUUAUCGGCAUCCACAGUCGUUUCUCCAUCGAUGUGGAUGUUUUCGCUUCUGGCAUAGAUUGAUACAACCCGUUGCUGGGCGCCCGGCUUUGAGAGUUCGUCUUGAUGCUCCUGGAGAAUCCGGGAAUCAGUUGUGGUUACAUCU